UACGGAGGGGGCAAGCGUUGUUCGGAAUUACUGGGCGUAAAGGGCGCGCAGGCGGCUGCUCAAGUCAGGCGUGAAAGGCCUGGGCUCAACCCGGGAAUUGCGCUUGAGACUGGGCUGGCUUGAGUGCGGGAGAGGAUGGUGGAAUUCCCAGUGUAGAGGUGAAAUUCGUAGAUAUUGGGAAGAACACCGGUGGCGAAGGCGGCCAUCUGGACCGCAACUGACGCUGAGGCGCGGAAAGCGUGGGGAGCAAACAGGG
RNAcentral lists this ribosomal RNA (256 nucleotides) under uncultured bacterium. RNAcentral's name for it is "partial 16S ribosomal RNA". It matches the Rfam family "Bacterial small subunit ribosomal RNA", at positions 524 to 777 of the family's 1533-position model. The record is from RNAcentral.